Molecule: long non-coding RNA, 6682 nt
Organism: Stegostoma tigrinum
Lineage: Eukaryota; Metazoa; Chordata; Chondrichthyes; Orectolobiformes; Stegostomatidae
Exons: 4
Source: RefSeq, a predicted model, not a curated record
GCAACCAUUUUGUGUUCCGAACAAGGGUCCAGGCCCGAAACGUCAGCUUUUCUGCCCCUCUGAUGCUGCCUAAAUCUGCUGCGUUCAUCCAGCUCCACACCUUGUUAUCUCAGAUUCUCCAGCAUCGGCAGUUCUUACUAUUUCUGAGUGAAUAAGCGAAACGGCUGGCUUUCCCUCGCGCUGCCAUUUGCCGCUGCAAGCAGUGAAGGCGGACAGCCGCUCGGGCCCGAAGACGCGGAUCAUCCCGCUCGAGCCCGAAGACGCGGAUCAUCCCGCUCGAGCCCGAAGACGCGGAUCAUCCCGCUCGAGCCCGAAGACCCGGAUCAUCCCGCUCGAGCUCCUAGGUUCGCGCCCCCCCCCCAAGACAGCUACUCACCAGAGCCAUCCCCCACCCCAGAGGGGUAAACACCCUUCCCAACAAACAGCGAUUCAAACUGCGUCAAUCCAUAACCGAUGGAGUUCGGACUUCGAUACAUCAACGACUCCCAGAUGCACAAGUACGUGAAGUCAGCGUUUUCAUAAAACAGAAUCAUGUGUUCAGUGGGUGCUUCCGCUUACUGCGAUAGUCAUCCGAACUGUUUUCCACUUCACAUGGAUGUCAGGCGUAGAUUGUGUGAGCAUUGGCACCAUGUAUAUUGGGGGCAAAAACAUAUCAAGUGGUACUCCACCUGUGCCUGUGAUUGCGAAGGAUGGGUCUGGCCAUGUUGCCACGAAAUGUUCAUGCACUCGGACCAUACUGUACCACUGCUAUUUGUGGAAAAGUUUGUGCAGAAAAUUUGACCACAAGUUGAACAGGCAGUGGUCAACACUUAAAGAUUUUUUGAGGCCCUGCGAAGAGGGGAGACAUUUGAUCCUGUCAGAUCGUGUGGAGCAGACUCAACGUUUUUUGGUAGAACCUCAUCACCAAAUCUUGCCAACAAGUACCAAGAUGUAAUGUGGCUGGCAGUGUGAAGGGCACAACCGAUCAGAUGUUUCGUACUCAACUGGAAAUUGCCCUUGAAAUGGCUGAUAUGGUGAACCAACCUUUGGAUAGGCUGGUUCUAGAAUGUGUUUUUGCAAAGAAGGCAAUGGUCUUUGUUGAAGCCCAUCCCAAGCAGCUCCAUGACUCAGGACCCUGUGCGCUGCAAGUUGAUCCCUGGGGAUGCAGACCAAGUCAAACAUCAACUAUGCCUGUAGGUCCUUCAACUUGGCGAAAGAUGCUGUUUCAUCUGCUUGAAACAUGUUGAUCUUCCAGAGCAAAAGUUGCCCUGAACCAAGCGUUGUAGACUGAUGCGUUCCAAGGUCCAGAAAUAUUUGCUUAGGGACACACUUAGUCAAUGGCCUGGUCAGACCUUCCUCGGGGAUAGCUGUUAAAGUCAGUUAUGGCAGAUCAAGUUUGAUGUGACAAGUGCAAUGUUAUCAGUUUUCGUCAGAAGAAUUGAAGUACAGCUUUUUGUCUAAAUGGUGAGAAAUUUCAGCAUGCUUCUUGCAGAGGGAAGUGGGUGUCUUCAUGUAUGAAUUGCAGAAAACUAAUAUGGAGGUAUAGCAGGUAAUAAGGAAGGCAAAUGGAAGUUUGGUCUUCAUUGCUAAACAAGUAGAGCAUGAAAUUAGGACAGUGUUGUUGCAACUGUACAAGGCAUCAGUGAGACGAGUUGGAUCAUUGUGUACAAUUUUGGGGUCUUUAUUUGAGAGAGAGAAUUGUAUUGGAGGCAGUUCAGAGGAAGUUAAUGAGAUUGAUUCUAGAAAUAAGGGGCUUGUCAUAAGAAGAGAGGCCUAUACUCUGGAUCUAGAAGAAUGAGAGGAGAUCUAAUUGAGGUAAAUAAGAUAGUGUAGGGAAUUGUCAAAGUCGACCGAAACAGUAUAUUUCAUCAUGUAGAGCUAUCUAGAAUGAGAGGUCAUUGUUUUAGCAUGGGAGUAGCAGAUUUAAAGCAGAGACGAACAGAAUUUAUUUAUCUCAAAGGGUCAUGAAUCUGUGGAUUCAUUAUUCUGGAAUGCAGUGGAUGUUGGGACAUUGAGUAAGUUUAAGAAGGAGAUUGAAAGAUUAUUAAUUAGUAGUGGGUUUAAGGGUUUUGGAGAGUGGGGUGGAAAGUGGAACUGAGAUUAACCAUGAUCAUAUCAAACAGUGGAACAUGCUUGAGGAGCUGAACUGUCCUCUCACUCUCAGUCCUAAUGUAGUAAUGUGGCUGGAAAGCCGUAAGUCCUGGGGAGUCCAAAUGUUGGAGAGAAGGAAAAAGGUUUGAGAUUAGGUGCUCUGUAGCAGUAGUGGUGGGCCCAUUCAAAGCCUGGUUGGGAGAUGCUGGGAAGCAGAAGCAGAAAUGUAUUGAGGUGUGAGCAAGAAAGAUUGGGGGAAAGUUGAGGGAGAAUGGGAAUCAGUGGUUCAUAAUGGACGGGCAAGGGUAACUGUGGGGGUUUAUUGACAGUGACCAUCACUGUGGGAGAGCAUACGGGACCAUGGUGGGCAUCAUUAAAAUAUAAUGUCAGGUCUCAGGGCGCAAGGGGGUAUAUUGGAGGUGGAAGUCUGUGUGGAAGGUUUAUACACUCAGUGUUGGGGGGGGGGUAGAAUUCGUGGAAAUGGACUGCCCAGGUACAGCAAGAAAAAUGUGCACAUGCAGAUUCUUUAAUGGAGGGUGGGCACCUGGCACUGUGUGGAACUCAAUGCUGAGGUUUCACAUUUCAAGUUGCAUCCCUGCCAUCGUUUGCAGUUCACUAAAAGCGACCUGCAAAAGCUGCAUUUGCAGCAUACAGCCACACUUCAUUUGCAACGAUAUCACCUGAAUUGCAUGCAGUUCUAAAGUGUUCAAAUGCUGCACUCAGAUGAUGGUUCACCAUGUCAUUAGCUCUUGCAAAUUGCGCAUAGAGAUCUCAAUCAAGUACAUUUCAUCGCUUCUGACUUUAAACAAAAGUCUGAGUGCUGACCGUAACCAACACGGAAGUUGCAAGACUUCAAAGGACGGCUUGGGGAUGGAACUGCUCCUGUUUACUCCUGCACUUAUUCAUAGACAUCUACACCAUUGAGGGAGGCCAAUAAAAGCUAUGACUAUGGGCUCUCCUUGGAAAUUGCAUUUCAACUCAUCACUUUAGGCCCUGGAACAGCCUACUUCCCAGCAAUCAGUCUAUUCUUCAAGAAUCAGUGGCAUGUAACUUGGGAGCUGGUCAGUCUGAUACCCUUUUUAGUAGGUGUAUCACAUUGUGAGGGGUUGGAGUAUUUGUCCUCUGACUAUGGUACAGAACUGUUGGUCACAUGCACCAUUUGUCACUGCUUUUAUCGUUUGUUCUGUGCUGAUACUUUUUAUCUUUACGUGCAGCAAUGAUUUUAUUGCAUUGUUUACCAUAUCUGUGACAUGACAUGAGUGGGUGUUUUGGGUUUUUUUUGCUAAUCCUGGCUCUGACACAUCUGGCAACACACCCUCAAACUGCUGAGAAAGCAGUAAGAGUUUCAGGUAGUUUCUACUUGGCUGAUUCUACUUGUCUGAUGUGACAAUUGUGGGUCAGUUCUCACCUCUGCAUCAAAGGUGUGGUUUCCAGUUUCCAAAUUCAGGACUUCAUUGUACAACUUCUGGCUGAAACUCAAAUGCUUUACAUAAGGAAUGCUGCACUGUAGAAGGUGCCAUCUGUUGAACGAGGGAAGACGAGACCCAUUUUGUUCUUUCAGUUAGAUAUUAAAGGUCCCAUCACACGAUUUUGAAGAGGAGCUCAGAAGUUCUGCCUGGUGUCCUGGCCAACAUUCAUCCCUGAAUCAGUGUUGGAAAAUAAACUAAGAUAACCAAGUGUGAAGCUGGAUGAACACAGCAGGCCAAGCAGCAUCUCAGGACCACAAAAGCUGACGUUUUGGGCCUAGACCCUUUAUCUUGGAAAAUAAGCUGUCUGGUCAUUACCAAAAUUCUAAUUAUAGAAGCUUGUCACUGUCUCAUUUCCUGCCUUGAACAGUGACAGUAGUUUAAAACUAUAACCAAUGAGGUCUUGAAUGUGAAUACAAGUUUUUUUUUGGUCAGGGGCAUCUCAUUUAGCUAAGUGUCAGUCUCUGCCUAAAAAGCAAGUUUUAAAUUUGUAGGAGCAUGUGUAUUUGAAAGUGGGUUGAAUAAGCAGGUUUAAAUGUGGAGAAAUUGGCUGAGUGAAGCCAGUACCAAGCUGACUUAUGUGAACAGCACGUCAGGCAGUGUGCGAACAAUUCUGUUCUGAAAAGGAGUCAUGUUGGACUCAAAAUGUUAACUUUGUUUUUCUGCACAGAUGCUGCCUGACCUGCUGUGUUUGUUCAGGAUUUUUUUUUGUGCGGGAGACAUGGGUUGGCAUUUUCAAUGUAUUAUUUUCUCAUUUGCAACAGUGGAGUGUUGGAGGUUGAGGGGUGACCUCAUUGAGAUUUAUUAAAUCACGAGGAGCAUUGAUAAGUUGAAUGACCAGGAUCUUUUCCCUAGAGUGGGGGAGUUCAAAACUAGGGGCGAUAUUUUUACGGUGAGAGGAGAAAGAUUUAAGAGGUAUUUGGGUGGUGCCACAGUAAGUGGUGGAUUCAGGUACGGUUAGAAUGCUUUAAAGACAUUUGAAUAAAUUCAUGAAUUGGAAAAGUUUUGAGGGAUAUGGGCCAAGCCAAGCACAGGCAGGUGGGACAAGUUUAAUUUGGGAACAUGGACAGCAUGGACUGGUUGGACCGUCUCCAUGCUGUAUGACUCUAAGAAGUGUGUUGGGAAAGAAAGAUGAGAUCCUGGUAAAUUCAAACAGUGUUCUCUUAGACUAUUUAAACUUACUUGUGCAAAAUAUUGCAAGUUUUAAACAGCAGAAUAUAUGACAUAACAAACUUCCAAUAAUAUCAGUACACUUGGACAAUGAAAGCCAUCAGUUUAACUGGGACAAUGUGCCCAUAGCAGCCAAAGCCAAGCAAAAACACGGUUGGGAAUUCCUAGAGGCAUGGUUCUCAACCCAUAAUGCAAACAACAAACAUAUAGAAUUGGACCCCAUAUACAAACCCAUACAAAACAGAACUGGAAAUGACACAACUCACCAUAACAGACUGGACAGUGUAAAUUCCAAGUGGAGUACAACAACAUUGCUUCUUUGGAGACCUCACUGAUGUUACCUAGCAUGGCGACGAAACAUCUGAAUGAAAACAAACCAGCUCAGUGAGCAAGUCAACAACCUCACCCACAACUUGAGCUACAAAUCUUUGCAAAACCUUAAACAUGUAAACUGAUGUUCAAAAAUAUUUUCCAUAAUAAGCAGUGUUUGGUGCCUGGGUACUUAAAUUUGAUGUGGAGGAGCCAUCAGGAUAGAAUGUAGUGUUUUCUCUUCGCAGAUUAUUUAAUUAUGUAUUAGUGAUGUGGAGACGUCAGUGUUGAACUGGGGUGGACAAAGUCGGAAGUCACACAACACCAAGUUAUAGCCCAACAGGUUUAUUUGAAAUCACAAACUUUUGGAGCAUUGCUUCUUCUUCAGAAGUUACUUCACCUGAUGAAGGAGCAAAAGCUUCUGAUUUCAGAUAAACCCGUUGGACUAUAAUCUGGUGUCAUGUGACUUCUGAAUAAUGUAUCUGUUGAAUUUUGCUUAUUUUUUGUUAGCUUGUUUCCUGAUACAACAAAUCAUCAGCUUACUUGUUGGGAGCAAGAUUCAAAACAAUAAUAUAAAUUGCUAAAGAAACUCUGCUUUCUCUCCACAGAUGCUGACAGACGUGCAAAGUUUCUCCAACAAUUUGUUUUGUAUCAGAUUUCCAGCAUCCAUAGUUCUUUGUUUUAAACAAGAUUCAAAAUGUACCCUUCACCAGUUUCUUCUUUCACCGUCAAUUGACCCACUUAAUUUGUUCACAACCUAGUAGAUUUCCGGGGGCCUUUGCUGUGGACAAUAGUGAUUUUUAUUUGUUUAUUGGAUGUGUGCAUUAUCAGUGAGGAGGCAGUUAUUGCCCAUCCUUAAUAGCCCUGGAGGAGGUGUGGUGAAGUGAGCUGCUUUCUUGAACUGUUGCAGAACUUGAGAUGGACAUUCAUGUAGUUAUGCUUAAAUUGAAUUCCCAGAUUUUGAUUGGAGGCAAUGUUAUUUCUUGCACAACAUUGAGCUGAGUGCUUUGAUAAUCCAGGCCCAUGUAAAAAUGAACUAAGUUUAGCCACUGCAACCUUUGAACCUCCACUAUCAGCCUGAAUAAAUAAUUGGAUAGUUUCUGUUGAAAUCUCUACUUUGUAAUUCUGUGAACUCUUGCUCAGUCCUGCUGGAAGAGCAGUGCAGCCAGCUCUGUUUGUUUAAACGCAGAUGUUUGAUUCCCCUGGGGUUAUGAUGCACGCCAGACCCAUCAUGCACAGCUAAAUUAGUCUGCCAGUCCUGAUGAUCAGAUGAUUCUUGCUGCUUGCUCUUAACUUCCUCCAAAUGUAAGAAUAUUAUUUCUUUAAUGAUUUAACAAUGAUUUGCAUUUAUAUACUUAAAGGUAAUGCAGCAAGGCACUUUGUGAGUGUCACCAGAUCAAGAUUUGAUGUAAAGAACCUUUGGAAUAGAUGACCGAGAUGCUGAUCAAUAAAAUGGCGGUUUUCAAGAGUGAUGUAAAAUAUUUCAGGAUUUUCUUCUACUGUGCUACUUGCAUAAUUAUCCCACGUAUUGUACACUGUGUGAAGAGGAAUUUCCUGAUAUUUCUCUUAAUGUUAUAAUUUACGUUUUAGCUUUAUGCACUGUUAAUGCUGCAUGUCUCCAAACUCUCCUCAUAACUAAACAUCAUUCAUUCUGUCACAGCAUUAAC